GGAGGUCACACCCGUUCCCAUACCGAACACGGAAGUUAAGCUCUUCAGCGCCGAUGGUAGUCGGGGGUUUCCCCCUGUGAGAGUAGGACGCCGCCA
This 96-nucleotide ribosomal RNA is filed under the name Bacillus subtilis subsp. natto. Lineage: Bacteria; Bacillati; Bacillota; Bacilli; Caryophanales; Bacillaceae. The record is from RNAcentral.